Non-coding RNA from Phycisphaerae bacterium SM1_79, 236 nucleotides. NCBI's taxonomy places the organism in Bacteria, Pseudomonadati, Planctomycetota, Phycisphaerae. The record is from Rfam.
ACAAUCCAGCCUGGCCAAAGCUUAACCAGCAGGCCAGAACAGAACUUUGCACAUAUGGAGGUAACGAAAUAUGUGGAGCCAAAGGGAUGGCAGAUUAUCGACCAUAACGGAAGUGAAGGUGUUGAGCCCCGAAAUGUUGGAUAUUGCAUUGGGCGAGGGGUUGAUUGUCCCCGAAGCCAGCAUUGCUGCACACGUUAAUGGUGAGUGUGUCAGCGACGUGCCGGGGUCUGAGGCCA